GUUUUUGAUGGGAUUCUUUGUUUUUUCCUUGCUAAUUUGUUUGAGUUCAAUGUAGAUUCUGGAUAUUAGUCCUUUGUCAGAUUCAUAGAUUGUGAAGAUUAUCUCCCACUUUGUGAGUUGUCUGUUUACUCUGCUGACUGUUCCUUUUGCCAUACCAAAGCUCUUUAGUUUAAUUAGAUCCCA
Molecule: long non-coding RNA, 183 nt
Organism: Nomascus leucogenys (northern white-cheeked gibbon)
Lineage: Eukaryota; Metazoa; Chordata; Mammalia; Primates; Hylobatidae
Exons: 3
Source: RefSeq, a predicted model, not a curated record